This is an RNA transcript of Sapajus apella (tufted capuchin), 4668 nucleotides long. It is a transcript of the gene named beta-1,4-galactosyltransferase 5, with no coding region annotated. The record is from RefSeq and is a predicted model, not a curated record. Lineage: Eukaryota; Metazoa; Chordata; Mammalia; Primates; Cebidae. The transcript has 10 exons.
CAUGUUGCCCGGCCCGCGGCGGCCGGCGGCUGGGAGCUGCGAGACAGCGGCGGCGAGUGGUGGCCAGCGAGGCCCGGGAGGUGGUGGCCGAGGCCCAGGCGGCGGCGGCGGCGGCCCAGGAGGCGGCGGACUGGGAGCGGCGGGAGCAGGCCCGGCCCGGCUCUCGAGCGGCCGCCCGGCUGCAGCAUGCGCGCCCGCCGGGGGCUGCUGCGGCUGCCGCGCCGCUCGCUGCUCGCCGCGCUCUUCUUCUUCUCGCUGUCGUCCUCGCUGCUCUACUUCGUCUAUGUGGCGCCCGGCAUAGUGAACACCUACCUCUUCAUGAUGCAAGCUCAAGGCAUUCUGAUCCGGGACAACGUGAGAACAAUCGGUGCUCAGGUUUAUGAGCAGGUGCUUCGGAGUGCUUAUGCCAAGAGGAACAGCAGUGUAAAUGACUCAGAUUAUCCUCUUGACUUAAACCACAGUGAAACCUUCCUUCAAACUACAACAUUUCUUCCUGAAGACUUCACCUACUUUGCAAACCAUACCUGCCCUGAAAGGCUCCCUUCUAUGAAGGGCCCAAUAGACGUAAACAUGAGUGAAAUUGGAAUGGAUUACAUCCAUGAACUCUUCUCCAAAGACCCAACCAUCAAGCUCGGAGGUCACUGGAAGCCUUCUGAUUGCAUGCCUCGGUGGAAGGUGGCGAUCCUUAUCCCCUUUCGGAACCGCCACGAGCACCUCCCAGUCCUGUUCAGACACCUGAUUCCCAUGCUUCAGCGCCAGCGCCUGCAGUUUGCAUUUUAUGUGGUUGAACAAGUUGGUACCCAGCCCUUUAAUCGAGCCAUGCUUUUCAACGUUGGCUUUCAAGAAGCAAUGAAGGACUUGGAUUGGGACUGUUUAAUUUUUCAUGAUGUGGAUCACAUACCAGAAAGUGAUCGCAACUAUUAUGGAUGUGGACAGAUGCCAAGGCAUUUUGCAACCAAAUUGGAUAAGUAUAUGUAUCUGCUUCCUUAUACUGAGUUUUUUGGCGGAGUGAGUGGCUUAACAGUGGAACAGUUUCGGAAAAUCAACGGCUUUCCUAAUGCUUUCUGGGGCUGGGGUGGAGAAGAUGACGACCUCUGGAACAGUGACACAGUGAGUCAUUUGAGUGAGUGAGAAAGCUUUUGCUGUGUGUGAUUUCCAGGAGUCCAGAAUGCAGGCUAUUCUGUGAGCCGGCCAGAGGGUGACACAGGAAAGUACAAGUCCAUUCCUCAUCACCAUCGAGGAGAAGUCCAGUUUCUUGGAAGGUAUGCCCUGCUGAGGAAGUCAAAAGAACGGCAAGGGCUGGAUGGCCUCAACAACCUGAACUACUUUGCAAACAUCACAUAUGACGCCUUGUAUAAAAACAUAACUGUCAACCUGACACCCGAGCUGGCUCAGGUGAACGAGUACUGAGAGGAGAGAAUGUAUGUUGGCUUUACCCACCGCCACCAAGAAAGCAGUCUGAUGAGAUUUUUUUUUGUGGGGGGGGGUCUACACAGCAAGAGAACAGAAAUACAGUGUCUCAUGAAGGAUCACAGGGUUUGGGGGAAAAUGUGACCGCACACGCACAAACGCCUUCACUGGAUCAGCUGCUGGGACCGAGGGAGUGAGCUUGGGGACAUCCUUCGUCAGCACUGGCUUUCUGUUUUCACAAGACAGACGUCUGUCCCGCUGCUCUCUCCCCGUCUCCUACCCCACAUCCUGUCUUAGCCACAGUCUCCAGAACCCGUGAUGAACUGUGAUCUGCCGUGGUCCUGCCGUGGAGCCUGUCCCUACAUGUGACCUUGCAGCCUCUUGGCCUUCAGAGCAGAGGCAAACCCAGCACAGGGCAGCUGCGUUUUAGGAAGAGCAAAUGAAACUCCACACCAUUCUUCUAUAUCUCUGGUGUUCUCUUUGGUUUCAUUUUUUAAAAAAAAUUACCUUUGGGUGGGGAUAGAGGGUGGAGGGGAGGGUAUUUGGGAAAGAUAAAUAGACAUAAAUAUAUAACAAUCACUUCUUGAAGAAGUAUAAUUGUAAAUAAGCCAUGUAAAAUGCCUUUUUAAAAUUUAAUUUCUAGCUGGCUCCAGUUCAAACCCAGGAUUUAUAUAUUAGACCAUUUAUUUGGUUGGCAAGUACAGGAACUCAGUUAAAAUGCUGUUGAAGGAUAUCAUCUCCCGAAUGGCUGUUGCCUUGGGAAGGGAGUGGAUAUAGGGCAUGUCACAAAAGAACAAAAUAACCCGACCUUUAUUGCCGGGAGCUGGCUUCUGCCCCUUUCUUUCUCCCCACGGGUCUUGUCCUUGACUUCUGCUGUGGACUCACUCUUCCCUGUUGGCCACGUAUGCGCUCAUCCCACUCUCCGCUAAGUGGAGAGCAGGCUGCUUCCUGCCCAAAGCAGGCCCUCCACGGCUCGCUGCGCACACAUCCCUGGCUCUCCCCGCUUCAUGUUUCGUCCUUUUAUCAGCAUGUGGUUUGGGAGGGGGGUUGUAUGGGAACCCCUCCCCCCCUUCUUUUCUCUGUGGAAACUUGGCCACAGUUUCUGAACAAUGUGCCUACAUUACCAGCUGGCUUCAGUGAUUCCUCUGUUUCCCUUUUUGGUUUCUGGAAAGAUUCUUUGUCAACAUUAGUAACUGAUACACAGAACCAAGGAGCACUGGAGUAGGAAAGAAUUGAGCCAGGGAGCCGGUGACACUUGUGUGCUGUGGGGCAGCUGGGAUCCAGGAAAGACCAGAUUGAAGCUUUGAAAUUAGACUAACAAAGCUCCAGAUGGCAAGAGCCCAGGUGUGCUGCUUACACCCCCACCUGCAUUUUGAAGUCAUAUUCUUUUUUUUUUUUUUUAAAGACAGGGUCUGGCUGUGUCACCUGGGCUGGAGUACAUCGGCACCAUCACAGCUCACUGCAGCCUCCAUCUCCCAGGCUCAAGCCUUUUCCCACCUCAGCCUUCCAUGUAGCUGGGACUACAGGUGCAGACCACCAUGCCUGGCUAAUGUUUUGUAUUUUUAGUAGAGAUGGGGUUUCGCCAUGUUGCCCAGGCUCCUCUCAAAUUCCUGGACUCAAGCAAUCCACCCACGUUGACUUCCAAAGUACUGGGAUUAUAGGCAGGUGUGGGCCAUCAUGCCCAGCCUUGAAGUCAUAUUCUAAAUUGUAUUGGAAUUUGUGCCUCUUUGUUUUUUCCCCCGAACCAAAGCCCUCAAUUUGUAGUCCCCAUCCGCUUCUGCAGAAAUCUGGAAAAUGCCAGUCCCUCCCCUCCUUUCUUUUCCAUACAACAUAUUUAUAUAUUGUGAUGAGGAGUACUUUCUGAAGAGUACUUCGUAUUUUUUUUAAUUGCCUUGUUUGCCUUCAACUUCCUUGAUUUUCAUGGUUUACAUGGGUGUGUGUAGGGGGGUGUGUGUGUGUGUAUAUACGUGUGGGUUAGGGCUUUUUUCGUUGCAUGUGAUGGUUCUGUGGACAUAUGAUCCCCGCAAACUGUGGGAGUGAUUGGCCAGGCCUUGUUUUUAUGUUUGUGUUUUCUUUUGAAGAAUAGAGUGGUAUUUAGAAAAUAAAUUGCAUUGCAAAGCUCUUAUCGGCUCGUAUGAGAGAGCAGGCUCCUGCCCUUGAAAAUGCUGGUAAGCUAUAGCAUAUGUUUUUUAAAACUUUUAAGCAUUUCAUGCUUUAAAAUACCUUCACAAGGGAACAUUACUCCCAGAGGUUCAUUUGGUUUUCCUUUGUUUUAUGGUGCAUAUAGCAAUAAAGGACCCCGACCCCAUUUCGCCCUCCACCAUGCAACCCCACCCCCAUCGGGCCUUUGUCCCUGCCGCAGCUUUUCUCCCCUUCUCAUUCUCCUCUCCCUUUUCCUCACAGAAGGCUGUGAGUUGCUUUCAUUGUGACAACACUGUGAUGUCAUUUGGAAGGAUUUGCCAGUACAGACUGAUUCUGAAUUAUAGGCGGCAGUGUUGUUUGAAGCUCUACAUUACCAUAAUUGCCAUCAAGCACACACUGUUGGCAAAAGACUAACACCUGACUUUUGAAAUGCUUAUAAGAGAACAAAAGGAAAGGUCUCUUUUCACUGCGUAAAGUGGGGUCACUUCGAUACCCUUGCGGUCACGUCCAAGUCUGUCUGAUGAGUAUGGAAUCUCUGAAUGUAACUGUCAUGCAUCUACCAGGUCUUGAAUAUUAUAUGGGAAAUGUCAUAGUUAAAAACGUAUAGCCAGGCCCGUGUGCCGUUAAUAGCGUGGAAUUGUCAUGUUAAAAAAAACAGGAACCAAGUGUGACCUUGUGCAUAUGUUGACAGCUGAAAUUCUUCAUCGCUACUGAUGGGUGGCCCCUUAAAUUAACCUUGUCUUUGAUUGCUGUGUGCAGGGAAAGGUGUCCCUGUUAUGCUGUUUUUGGGGGAAAGGGAGUACUUACAAGAAUACUCAUUUUGACAUAAUAGGUCCUCUUGUCAAGAGAUCCUCUACCACAGACAUUAAUAGCUGAGCAGCAGCCACAUGGAUUGAUUGUAUCCACCACCAUUGACAAUAGCAUUGAGCGUAGCUAGCUUAUUUCCAUCACUACGUGUUUUUGAGCUUGCUCUUAUGUUUUAAGAGGUGCCAGGGGUACAUUUUUGCACUGAAAUCUAAAGAUGUUUUAAAAAACACUUUUCACAAAAAAUAGUCCUUUGUCAUUACAUUAUUUACUCAUGUGUUUGUACAUUUUUGUAUGUUAAUUUAUGAAUGA